This 1068-nucleotide long non-coding RNA is filed under the name Volvox carteri. RNAcentral describes it as "long non-coding RNA (VCAR_LNC001916)". Lineage: Eukaryota; Viridiplantae; Chlorophyta; Chlorophyceae; Chlamydomonadales; Volvocaceae. The record is from RNAcentral.
AAGAAUUGAAAUUGUGUUCUCUGGUUCCGUGUACGCAAGCAAUAGGAUAAAAUUUCCCGUUCGAAGAACUACACAAUGACUAUGCCCAAUUAAGAGGAAGCUGAGCAUGCAACGAGUACCGAUCUCAAUGUAUUUGGAACUAAACGCAAGCGUGCUAGGCUUGUGGUGUACGCAGAAGUGCUACUGCUGCAAACCGCGACCCGCAAAUGCCGGCCCCAAAGGCAGCACGACCAACCUACCACUGCAGAGCCUACCGUUGCAGAAGAAAACAUUUAUCCAGAAGAUGCGUCGCUGGGUGGGCUUGAAGGCAUGGUAGGAGGCGACCACUGGGUCAGCCGAACUACGGAUCUCGACGUGCUCUUCUGCAUACGGGCUUUUAUUAUUGGAGCUACUCCGUAUGCAAAACAGCUGGUUAUAAACGCGUACUUGGUCCGGAUGCUAGGUUCUCUGUGUGCGGGACUGGGUGCUUGGUAGGAGGCGACCCAUGGGUCAGUCGAAAAUCACACGGGUCCCAUGAGGUUGCUGUAUCCGGCAGGCAGUCGACAGCCGUUGGCCGAAUGGUGAAAGGUGCACGGCAGUGCAUGCAGAUCAGUUGGGGAAGGCUGAUAGCCAUGGGUUUCCCAGCAGACGACCGUGAUGGGGAUAGGAGAAAGGCCAUCACAAUAUCCUGAGGAACCACAGCGGGGACAGGCGGCCUCAUCGCUGCACCGCUCCACGGCGCUCUGCAGUGCAGAAUGCGUUGCCGCCAGCAGAGCUGCACGGGUUGCACUCACAUCGGGAAGAUGAUGGAAGUACAGACUAGCGAGUUGGGGAUCGAACGUGAGUCCGUAAGAGGUGCCCGCUCCGCCAGCGCCAUCUAAUUCGUCAGCAUCAUCGCUGUCCUCGUUGUAAUCGUCUGAAUCACAUGCCCCAUGAUCAGCCGCAGCUGUCAUUCAAACAAUGUCAGCCUGUCCCACAUGCGGGUGAUCAUCCGGUAUCCAGCCUAAGUCCGUUGGCGCAUCUUCUUGAUAAAUGUCUUCUUCUGCAAUGGUAGGUUCUACAGUGGUAGGUUGGUCGUGCUGCCUUUGG